GCCAGGCGUGGGGGUGUAUGCCUGUAAUCCCAGCUACCCUGGAGGCUGAGGCAAGAGGAUGGCAAGUUCAAGGACAGCCUGGGCAAUUUAGCAAAGCCCCGUCUCAA
This 107-nucleotide small RNA is filed under the name Marmota monax (woodchuck). The record is from RNAcentral. Lineage: Eukaryota; Metazoa; Chordata; Mammalia; Rodentia; Sciuridae.